UACGUAGGGGGCUAGCGUUGUCCGGAUUUAUUGGGCGUAAAGAGCGUGUAGGCGGCUAGAUAGGUCCGUUGUGAAAACUCGAGGCUCAACCUCGAGACGUCGAUGGAAACCAUCUGGCUAGAGUCCGGAAGAGGAGAGUGGAAUUCCUGGUGUAGCGGUGAAAUGCGCAGAUAUCAGGAAGACCACCCGUGGCGAAGGCGGCUCUCUGGUACGUGACUGACGCUGAGACGCGAAAGCGUGGGGAGCAAACAGG
This 253-nucleotide ribosomal RNA is filed under the name uncultured bacterium. RNAcentral's name for it is "partial 16S ribosomal RNA". It matches the Rfam family "Bacterial small subunit ribosomal RNA", at positions 524 to 776 of the family's 1533-position model. The record is from RNAcentral.